Long non-coding RNA from Pelodiscus sinensis (Chinese soft-shelled turtle), 3038 nucleotides. RefSeq lists it as uncharacterized. The record is from RefSeq and is a predicted model, not a curated record. NCBI's taxonomy places the organism in Eukaryota, Metazoa, Chordata, Testudines, Trionychidae.
AGUGCUGAAAGGUUGCUAUGGAAACCGUUCCUACUGCUGCCAUAUGCCCGUGGCAGACAAUACAAAAAACCCAGAGUCCUCUCCGAGGCAGAAUUAGCAUACAAUCUCGGGGAUCGCUGAAAUUCAGCAGAAUUUUAAUAGAACAGCUGGGGAAAUUAAUCUAGGUAAGAGGCUCGCCAGCUUCCUGCCCCAAGCAGAAAUACUCACCAACAGCCCCGGCUGAAAAGCUGUCGACAGAGGAGACUCCAGCUCUCAGCGCUUACUGAGGGAUGGACAAUCCAUAACAUCCACUGGUGGAUUUCAGCCUGCUGCGCAUUCCUUACACAACUCUGGAUUACGCUGUGGACACGCCUGACAAAGGACACAAGGAUAAACCAUGGACAUAUUCAUCACUGGCUUUGGACAUCCAUGCAUAUUCAUCCACCGCACAGAAAGAGUCUGCCCUCACUCGCUAAUACACAACAUAAAAAGCAGCUGGGAUGGGGUUGAUUUCAGCAGCUGCUGCUCCCCACCAUGUCUAAGCUGAUGUUACUGCGUGUUCUCAGCUUCCCUGCUGCUAGCUAAAUCACCAUUUAGCCCCGUGUCUGGGAGUUCCUCGCUGUGACUCCCAGUGGGCCAUUAGCUGUCUUGUUCCCUUCAGAUCACCAAAGAAUCUAGUGGGCCAGGAGGCCAGGAACUCCCGCAAAGGGUCAGGAAACAGCAGCCGUUUGGGGUUCACACCACUUUGCUCUACAAGUUUAACCAGACCCACCGAUGGGGAGAGGCAGAGGGCAACUGCCCCAAGGCCUGGCAAUUCAAAAGGGCCCAGCUUUCAUGGCAUUUGGCAUCAGCUUCUUUUAAUCUCUGAUGUUCCCUCUCCUGCUCUCAGACUAGCUUCCCACACUAUACAGUGUAUAUAUUUGCUUCUCCCACACCAACAGACUAUUCCUCUGGAAAUCUGGCUAACUAAAAUCAUGCUGGACCACAGAUGUUCCUGGACCAGAAAGUGCUGGGCUAGAGAGGUUCAGCUUAUACAGUGAAGUUUGCUGAAACUGAUGGAGGGAAGCCAACAUACAUUUAUCCUCCUCAAGAGCCACUCAAUCCAAGUCCAUCAAACAAUCGCCUGCAAACCCAAUCAUGCGGAGCAUGGAGAGUGCAUGAGGCAGAAAGCAGCGUGUGUACUAAAAUACACCAUUGUAUGUACAGCUCAAAAGAAGAAAGAACUCACUAAACUUUAGAAAACGAAGGAAAACAGAAGUGAAGGCACCAUGCGACUGAGCGAGCUGGACUGAAAACAAAAGACGGUGACCUCCCAGUUAUUACCAGCCAACGAGGAAUGCUUUUUACGACGUUAGUCCCAGGACAAGUCCCAUAUAAGUGUGAACCUGGCAGGACUGCUUCACAAUUCUGACAUGUCCAACUUCACAUUUUUCUGCAAAACAGAAUAGGAGUUGUCCCCAGAUCUUGCAUUAGAGACUCUCUACUUGUCCUGUAAUUGAACUACCAUGUCUCAGGCCCAUAGUAGGGCUCAAAGCUAUUUUGACACAACAAUCUUAUUCCAAAGGCACUCUUUAGCCAUCUGUUAUACACUGAUCCUGCUAUAUUCACAAGUCCUUAGCUGAGAGCUCUAACAAUACAGAACUUUCUCACGAGCUAGGGAAAACAUACAGAAGGGCGGACGGCUGGUAGUUGCAGAGACUCUGAAAAAAACCACGUGGACCAGAUUGUAAUUUUCCAACCAGAGCAAGUAAAGAAAUCCCAAAGAAGUCAUAGACAAGAAAACAGUCCAUUUUCACACUGCACAUUUUUAGACUGGAGUGUGCUAUAUUCAGUGCAUUCAUUUUUAAAUAGCUCCACACCUUGCCUCGGCAGCCUGUGGUCGACACAGCUAGAGAUCAGGUGUGAGAUUUAUAUUCUAAUCUGCAGACAUAGAGAUGGGUGAAGAUUUUCAAGUGACUAGUGACUUUGGGUGUCUCUUUGAGGCACUUACAGGGUGUCGAUUCUCAGAGCAUGGCUGAAUAUGCUGAAAAUCAGGCUCCUUUAUGGUGUUCCAGGCACUCAAAAAAUGUGAUGCUCAGAACCAUCAGUUGCUUUGGAAAAUCAUGGCCUUGAACCCCAGUGCCUGGAACCCAACUUGGCUCAUGUGGGAGUCAUGCCCACACUUAAUACGAGCUACUUGAAGCACAGAAAAGAUGCAACGCCUCGAAAUUCUCGUGCAUGAAGCCAAAGCUCCAUCCCAAAUGUUCUGCAGAGAAAAGUUCUGGCAAAACGCCUUCUCUGCCCCUCUCUGCUCGGUGGCACCCCGAAGGAGGCACAGUUGCAUCCAAAACGCCCAUGCAGCUGCGUUUCACAGCUUGUUAUUCAGAGCAGAACUGCACUUUGCCAUGUUCAGAAUUACUUCCCUGUAAAUCAUCAAAGGAGCUCGCAGCAUUUGUCAGGCAAUGCAGAAGCUGAGGAAUUGCAAGCGAACUGGCAAUAAACCAUCCACAGCUCACUUGACAUGGACUCUUCCGGGUCACAUUGGUUACAAAGGGGAACACUUGAAUUUUUUUUAAAACAGACAUUUCUACCAAAGAGGCAGCGUUCACGCAAUGGCUUAGCCCAGGUUUGGAUUCUGCCAUCCUUCCUCAUACUGAGCAGAACCUUGCUUCAGGAGCACAUCCUAUGGGAUUGUCAUGGAGUAAAGCCCCACUUGGCAUCAGGAUGGGUGCUAGACUCAUGACAGCUUUGCCUGAGUGAAGACUGCAAGCCUGGACUUUCAAUCUGCAUAGAUGUCCCUGUUCGGCAAAAUACGGGCACCUACCUUACCAAAGCGCCCUUCCAGAUUCUCUCACAAGCACUGAAUUUUCAAACUACUUCAUCACAAAAGAAACUCGGGACCAGAUCCUCACACAUAUUUAGGAUCCUAACUUGCACGGAACUCAAGAGACGCUGGGAGCUUACACAGCCUAGAGAACCAGAGACUCAGUUCUUUGAGUGAACAGGUUGUGACGGCGCAUUGGGGUCCCCUGCCUCCUGCACCCCCGUAGUGGCACAAACUGACUCCACCAGCCAGUAGA